GGAUUGUGGCUCAGCGGUACAGUGUUCGCCUAGCACGGGCGGGACCUGGGUUCGAUCCUCAACACCA
Molecule: transfer RNA, 67 nt
Filed under: Marmota monax (woodchuck)
Lineage: Eukaryota; Metazoa; Chordata; Mammalia; Rodentia; Sciuridae
Description: tRNA.Ala
Source: RNAcentral